GAUUAAAGCUAUAUCAUGCAGAUGAGACAAAUCAGAGCCACAACAGACCAUCUAGACUAGCUUUCACCCCCACACCACCAAUCAACCAAGGAGUAGAAGAGUCCUGGUAGAGCGAGUUGUUUAAACCACCAAGUAUCAGCGACAUAAGGAGUACCUCAUCAAAUGGAAGGGUUUGACUGCAGAAGAGACUGGUUGGGAGAAGGAAACAAACCUCCAGCCACAUAAGCAGAAGAUUGACGAGUUCUCACAAGCUCAAUCACAGCUGUAAAUAUGGACUGCAUUCUUUUCCCUUCACCAAGGUUUUUUUCCACUGGGUUUUACUUGAUAAAGGUUUUUUAAUGAGGCAGUACUUCAUCACUUAUUCUACAAUACAUGUACAAGAGACUGAGGCAAUGGUAUAACAUCAAUCGACAAAAGCGUCGACCAUUGUGAGUGAGGGAGAAUGUCAAGGGGUAAGCAGUUUAGGUAGUAAAAUGUAAAUUUCAGGGAUUAAAGGGGAUAUUUGUAUUUAUUUUCUAUUUAUAUAAUUUUAGGGUGUGAUGGCUCAAGCAUAGUGAUGUUUCCUCCUGCCACACUCCAUUGUAUUCCUAUUGCUCUUUGGGGGGAAGUGACUAGUAGGCUAACGCUGAGCCCGACUGUCAUCGGUUGUUGAGUCCCUGUCCCUUU
This 666-nucleotide unclassified non-coding RNA is filed under the name Hevea brasiliensis (rubber tree). Lineage: Eukaryota; Viridiplantae; Streptophyta; Magnoliopsida; Malpighiales; Euphorbiaceae. The record is from RNAcentral.